Lycium barbarum (goji berry) is the source of this 733-nucleotide long non-coding RNA. RefSeq lists it as uncharacterized. The record is from RefSeq and is a predicted model, not a curated record. The transcript has 2 exons. Lineage: Eukaryota; Viridiplantae; Streptophyta; Magnoliopsida; Solanales; Solanaceae.
ACAGUGCAAUUUAGUUUUAGCUUGUCAUGUGGAAAGUAUGGCUUAACUGUUGUAAUUGAUUCUAAUCUUGUUUGUGUUUGCGGCUUUAAAUCAAACAACAAGGCCUUUGCUCUGAACCUAUAAAAAAAAAUAAAAAAAAAAAAGGAAAGAAAGGUCACUGCCAUCAGGACCACUCCAAUACGCAGUUUUUGAUGACAUUAUAAAAUCCUCAUGCAGCUUUGUGGUAUAUUUGGAUGGGAGGUUUGGUUGGGAUUCAGGUCUCUUCAUCUAAUGGCUGCUAAAUUGCAAUGGAUUCGUAUAUAAAGGGAAAGGGCCAAUUUACCCCUCUACUUUUCAAAAUGGUUUGCAUUUAACCUUUGUUAUACUUUGCGAACAAAAAUAUCCUUGGUGUUAGCAAAGUUGUUAAAAGUUAAAACUGCCCCUAUUUUUAAUGGAACUCCAGCUGGGACGAAAAAGGCUUAAAAAUGUAUAUUUUUGCUGACAUGGCUACUUAUUUGGCGAUUAUCUCUAUUUUCAUUAUAACAACCAAAUGCUUAAAACCAGAAAGAUUGAACUGCAAAAGAACGAGAAAGAUUGAACUCAACAAAAGCUAAACUCCAGAAUCAACUUCGAACUCAAGAAAACAAGACUAAUUUAUCUUAACAGUGGCUAAAAUCCACAAUCAACUCGAAUAUACAGAAAGCAAGAUCUCACGAAAAAAAAAAACAGAAAACAGAUUAGAUUUAAAUCAAAA